Molecule: ribosomal RNA, 429 nt
Filed under: Fusobacteriota bacterium
Lineage: Bacteria; Fusobacteriati; Fusobacteriota
Description: Fusobacteria bacterium partial 16S ribosomal RNA
Rfam family: Bacterial small subunit ribosomal RNA
Source: RNAcentral
UGGGGAAUAUUGCGCAAUGGGCGAAAGCCUGACGCAGCGACGCCGCGUGAGGGAUGAAGGUUUUCGGAUCGUAAACCUCUGUCAGAAGGGAAGAAACCGCACUGUGCUAAUCAGCAGUGCCUUGACGGUACCUUCAAAGGAAGCACCGGCUAACUCCGUGCCAGCAGCCGCGGUAAUACGGAGGGUGCAAGCGUUAAUCGGAAUUACUGGGCGUAAAGCGCACGUAGGCUGCUUUGUAAGUCAGGGGUGAAAUCCCACGGCCCAACCGUGGAACUGCCUUUGAUACUGCUUAGCUUGAAUCCGGGAGAGGGUGGCGGAAUUCCAGGUGUAGGAGUGAAAUCCGUAGAUAUCUGGAGGAACAUCAGUGGCGAAGGCGGCCACCUGGACCGGUAUUGACGCUGAGGUGCGAAAGCGUGGGGAGCAAACAGG